This 150-nucleotide non-coding RNA is filed under the name Oryza meridionalis. Its description in RNAcentral is "Bacterial large subunit ribosomal RNA". It matches the Rfam family "Bacterial large subunit ribosomal RNA", at positions 2473 to 2583 of the family's 2925-position model. The record is from Rfam by way of RNAcentral. Lineage: Eukaryota; Viridiplantae; Streptophyta; Magnoliopsida; Poales; Poaceae.
GAUAACAGGCUGAUCUUCCCCAAGAGUCCACAUCGACGGAAAUGUUUGGCACCUCGAUGUCGGCUCUUCGCCACUUGGAGCUGUAGGUGGUUAAAGGGUUGAGCUAUACACACAAUAGCAUGACUAGUUUACUCAACAAUAAUUAAACUG